UCUGAAGGCUGCAGGCUUAUGAAUAAUAUGUUUGAAAGCACAAAUAAGCACAUUCUGUCUAGGAUGUGUCUCAAAACAUCCAUCCGUCUCAAAACAUCCAUCUCUGGGCAGUUUAUAAUAACAUAAAACAGAUUAAAAAUGAAAACUUUUAAACAAUUUAAAACUGUUAAAAAGCUUGGGUGAAAAAAUAAGUCUUUCAAUUUUUUUUUAAAGCUUGGGAGCAAUAGGGAGGCUCUUAUUUCAGCAGGGGGAUGCAUUCCAGAGUCUUGGGACGGCAACAGAGAAGGUCUGUCCCUGCAUAGCCACCAGCCGAGCUGGUAGCAAUUGUAGAAAAACCUCUCCAGAUGAUC
This is a long non-coding RNA of Hemicordylus capensis (graceful crag lizard), 350 nucleotides long. RefSeq lists it as uncharacterized. The record is from RefSeq and is a predicted model, not a curated record. Lineage: Eukaryota; Metazoa; Chordata; Lepidosauria; Squamata; Cordylidae. The transcript is spliced from 3 exons.